AGUCGAGCGAGUCUGCCUUGAAGAUCGGAGUGCUUGCACUCUGUGAAACAAGAUACAGGCUAGCGGCGGACGGGUGAGUAACACGUGGGUAACCUGCCCAAGAGAUCGGGAUAACACCUGAAAACAGAUGCUAAUACCGGAUAACAACAGAUGAUGCCUAUCAACUGUUUAAAAGAUGGUUCUGCUAUCACUCUUGGAUGGACCUGCGGUGCAUUAGCUAGUUGGUAGGGUAACGGCCUACCAAGGCGAUGAUGCAUAGCCGAGUUGAGAGACUGAUCGGCCACAUUGGGACUGAGACACGGCCCAAACUCCUACGGGAGGCAGCAGUAGGGAAUCUUCCACAAUGGACGCAAGUCUGAUGGAGCAACGCCGCGUGAGUGAAGAAGGGUUUCGGCUCGUAAAGCUCUGUUGUUGGUGAAGAAGGACAGGGGUAGUAACUGACCUUUGUUUGACGGUAAUCAAUUAGAAAGUCACGGCUAACUACGUGCCAGCAGCCGCGGUAAUACGUAGGUGGCAAGCGUUGUCCGGAUUUAUUGGGCGUAAAGCGAGUGCAGGCGGCUCGAUAAGUCUGAUGUGAAAGCCUUCGGCUCAACCGGAGAAUUGCAUCAGAAACUGUCGAGCUUGAGUACAGAAGAGGAGAGUGGAACUCCAUGUGUAGCGGUGAAAUGCGUAGAUAUAUGGAAGAACACCGGUG
RNAcentral lists this ribosomal RNA (694 nucleotides) under uncultured bacterium. RNAcentral's name for it is "bacterial SSU rRNA". It matches the Rfam family "Bacterial small subunit ribosomal RNA", at positions 60 to 714 of the family's 1533-position model. The record is from RNAcentral.